Molecule: long non-coding RNA, 4767 nt
Organism: Triticum aestivum (bread wheat)
Lineage: Eukaryota; Viridiplantae; Streptophyta; Magnoliopsida; Poales; Poaceae
Exons: 17
Source: RefSeq, a predicted model, not a curated record
CGCUCCUCCCUCCCUCGUCGGCCACUCGGCCCCGAGCCACACGCACACCCAAUCCCCUCCCCUCCAACCCUAGCCGCCCCGCUCCCCUCCCUCUCCACGGCGCCGCCGCCGCCUCCUUCCCUUCUGCCCUGCUCUCCACCGUGCCGCCUCUUCCUCCUCUUCACUGCCCUCUCCAGCGGCGGCAAAGAACGGCAGCGCUCGAUCCGAUCUGCUGAAGAGAAUAUGAGAGAGGGAGAGAGACAAGGAAGGAGAGGAGGGAGAAAUAUAGAGGAAAGAGGAGAGCGAGGUGUGACGGCGGAUGAGAGAGGGUGACCGGAAGGAGCGUGACGACCUGCAGACAAAGGGCGGUGGCGGCGCCGCUCGAUUUGAUCUGCGGGAUAGAGAAGAUGAGAGGGAGAGAGAGAAGGAAGAACAUGAGAGGAGGGAGAAAGAGAGAGGAAAGAGGAGAGGGGGUCGACGGCCAACAGGAGAGGACCACCGGAAGGAGUGCCGCCGGCUCGUCGUCUUCCACCGCCGGCGUCGGCCUGCACCGGCGAGGUCGGGCGGGACCUUGCUUCCAGGGCGGCUUGACCACAGUCUACAGAACAGUAAAAAUGGAGGAUUUGGGGGCUGCUCAGUUUUGGAGUAGCAAACCAUGGAGGAUAUGGGGCUGCACGUGCUUGGAGCAGCAAGCCAUGGCAAAGAAGGUGAAUAAGCAACACAUACAUUACUGCCAGGGGUGGCUGUUUGUUUACUGAAGGGGGUGUUGAUCUGCUGCCCCUUGUUCUACACUCUGUCCAAGAUAGGGAGGCAGAAGAGAGGACAUGUUGAAGAAUCAAGGGGGACAACCACUAUUCAGUUUUUCUUUGUUAUUGCAUUACAGGAUUGUAGGGUGUUUAGAUUUUAAAUGCUGGCAUUGAUCGAGCUGUUAACUGGUUUUUAGUUCUGAUUAGAUGCGAAUCAUGUUUUAAUUAUGAUGAGAUGCAGAAAUUGUUGAGACAGGGCAUGAAUGGUAUAUAUUUUAGCCGUGCUUUUAUUCCCUUUUGCCCUUUCCAAAGGGACUACUCUACUUUUGUUGACCAUUAGUAUAUAUUUUUCAGAUCCAGAUCCAUUUAUCUAAUGAGAGGUGUAUCAGAGAAAUAAAAAAUAUAUUGAACUACAGUUCGUGACUUUAUGCGAAGAAUUCUAAGGGAGCAAGUCAUUUUACUGGGGCUAAUAAACCCAUACCCCGCAUCUCGUCUGCCCCGGGUGCGGAGGCGAGCUUCCCGGCGAUGGCGGCAGCGCUGGAUUCGAUCUGCAGGAGAGACAGGGAGGUGCGGCUUCAAAUGGGAGAGGGUCUUGAGACAGCUUCACAAGUAUUUAUGAUGAUCGUUUGCAUGGGCCUGCAGAUCAGCUGGGAGGAGCAGUGGCAAGCAGCAGCAGCGGUGGCAAGUAGAGGCAGUGGGCAGCAGAAGCCCAUACGCAUCUGCUAGGCUGCGUGAACUGUAGAUCGAUUGAGUGCCCGACCAGGAUUUAACUUGGCUGCUAUAAGAUGGAGGGGUCCUCAGCCGGAAUCUCCAUCAAUUUGCGUCCUUGGGCCAUAAUCUCCAUCAAAUUCCGUCGAAAUUUGCACGAAGCGUCCAAUGUCGCCACAGAGUUUGCCGGAGGAACAAGAACAUUGGUCCGUCCAGUGUCGCCUGCAGCGGCUACACCAAAGUUGCUAUGUCUGACGAUCACACCAAAUCAGACGCUGCACUUGAACACUAUAAACAACAGAUCAGAUUUGUUGUUGUCCGGAUAAAUGUUCAGUCAUUCCCUGUUGGAACAAUCAAAUCUUGAUGUCGGUUCCCAAUUGAGUUUCCUUCUAUUUACGAACUUAGGGCCACAUGAACAAGGAUCAUGCGGACGCUACAAAACUCAUCGUGCAACACUCAACCUCUGUUAAGGCAAGUACAAUAUAGAGCUUACUUACGUGGUAUCUGGUCAUGAAUGCGACUCUGCAAGAUAUACUAGAAAACAAGUUGUAGCUAUAUUAGUUUGUGAAACAGUUAUACUAUUUAUCUUCUGUUGAUUCCAUACUUAAGUUUCUUUUUGUAACCAAAUAACUGUAGUAUUUUAGUUAUUGGAUUGUGUGUGCUCGGUCACAAUGAUAUAUUUAGUUGAAGAUAGGAAUGUUUUAGUUCAAGCAUAUGAUAACUUGAGUGCAGCAGUAGAUAAACAUUCACUUACAAAUUCUACUCCAAAUGGACAGUAAUAGUAGUACGUGGGCAGUGUAAAAUGUGUUUUUGUUAGUUCAGUGAAAAUUAGAGAUCAACCUGAUGGUACUUCAUUUUUAUUCUAAUAUGCCAAAUGCUAUUAAGGAAAUGAAGUUUCUUCCUCGAUCAAGUUAUCAGUCCUUGGUUCACUCUUGCCCUUUGCGCUUGAUGAGACGGGUGAGGAGGAGGAGGAGGAGGAGAGUGUGGGGGCAUCUGGAGAGGAGCGAGGGGUGAGAAGAUGAGAGGGAGAGAGAUAAGAGGUGGGACGUGAAGGGGAGAAGAGGGGUGUGGCAGGGCCGGACCUCCUGCCCGGACAAGGCACGCGGCGGAUGCGCGACGUCAUUUCUUUGGGACAUGCUGGGCUUGCUUUCAUCCUAUAUGCGCAAGAUAGAAAAAACAUCAAGUGGAGAUAUGGGAAAAUCUGGGCUUAAGAAUGGUUGAGUUGUGGAUAUUUUGCUCAAAGCAUUCUGGAGUCAGAGGAAUUAGCUCCAUACACCUUGUCAAUGGUGUUGCUGAACAGGAUACCACAUAAGUUGGGCUGGAUGAUGAAAAUUCUGCUCAAAUAAGAUCUAAGCGCAAGAGUAAAGACAAAUUCAUGAACCUCACACCCAUGAGCUCAGGUUUGUCCAACCUAAACAAAGCACAGACAACAGAGCUCGUUACCUCAACAUGUGAUGUUAGAGGCACGGAAAAUCAACAAGUUCAAUGCACAAAUAUGGUUGUUGAUCAGCCUACAUGGGCUGGGAAUCUUGUGAGCAAUUCUGGUGAUGUUUCUACAUUUCUUAGAAAGCUAAUUGACCAAGGAAAAGUUAGUGUUGGUGAUAUACAAUCAGAACUGAGUCUCUCAUCUGAAUCGUUGGAAGCUGCUCUUGAGAAAAUUGGGGGCAAAUCAUGGCUGGAGCAUAUGUGAACUUGGCCUCCGGUCAUUUAUUCAGGAGAGGGAGCUACAACGGCAGGAGAAGAAUGCAACGAGGUGCGGUCUUCUGUUCGAUGCCAAGGGCCUAUCCGGCAGCGAUUUCCUCUGUGAGUACUCCACUACAUGCCUUCCGUCGAAUCCUGAAGAUGUUGCUAGCGUCUUGAAGGAUUACUUAUAUUUGCUCCCUAAUUUCCUGGAUUAUACCAAAUAUGUCCUGGUACAUUAUAUGGGUAUUGCAUCGCUUGUACUUAUAGAGGAAAGUGGGCUAUACUUGUUCAGCUCAAGAGCAGGUUGAUUACAGAGCAGCAGGAACCGAAGAAGGAAGAGAGUAAAUGCAGAGGAUGUGCGUGUGAAGUCGCAUUAAGUACCUGGAUGUCCUCGCAUUGAUGAUCUUGAUCAUGGCUGACCGACGGCGCGAGAGGAACUAUGUGGUUUUCCUUCUCCUCGUGAGCUCCGGUUAGAGAGAAGUGAAAGUGAUUGUGGUGGUGGUAAGAGAGGAAGUGGGGAAGGCAGCGCUUAAUUAGAGGAGCGGAUGAGGCAUGUAUUCCAAUGGUGAACAGGGUUCAUGAGGCUUUGUGUCUAUAUGUACCACCUGUCUUGAACUCUAUCUGUGUGUUGGCGCCAGCGCUACGCGCCGCCUCUCCGACUCCUCACUCCGUCCUCGUCCACGGUGGCCGCCGCCACCCUCACCUGCGCUCGUGCCUUCUUCAUCUCCGGCCGCGAGCUCCACCCCGUCCAGCCUCAUCUCCCCAGAUCUUCUUGAUUUUGAUCCGGGAGCAUACGGGUGCGGAUCAAAGCGUUGGUGGACAGGUUCGCGAAGGAGCUGCAGGAGGCGCUAGACGCGGACAUCCAGAAUCGCAUCAUGAAGGAGCGGGAGAUGCUAGCUACAUCAGGAGCGCAAACACGAGGUCGCCGAGAGGGAGGCUGUUUGGAAGGCCGAGGUCUCCCACCGCGAGUAAGGGAUCAGUUGCUGAAUUCUGGUGCAUUCCUGGGUAUUCUUGGGAGAGGAACACCUGGCGGCGUCUAGUACGUUGGUGAGCUUGACGACAACUGUUAAUGGGGCAAUGAGGUGAAGCUCUAUGAGCACCAAGUAGACAAUCUCUUUGCUAUGUUUUGGCACAAAAAGCCGGACAUCAACUACUACGUCUGCACAAUCAACAAGACGUUUGCCAAACCAGGCCAGCGCAUGUAUUUCCAGGUUAACUAUACUGAAGAGAACCUGCUCGACUACAUUGAUCCAAAGAAUGAUACACUCAUGGUCAGACUUGCAGAUGGCCAUUUGCUCGCCAAGUGUUGCAUCAUGGUAGCAAGUGACAAGAGGGCCACUAUAACCACCAACUGGUCUGAGUUUCGUCGUCGCGCCAAUAUUCGUGAAGGAGACAUCUGUGCAUUUCGUUUCAGGAUCACUUCAAAGCGCCGCCUGGUUCUCACCGUGCACCGCCUCUAGAUGCACAAUUGAAGACGCUGCAGCCCCUGUGUCAAUAUAAUCUAAUAUAAUGCACUACUAAGUACUCCUAAUUAUGCUAUAUCAUGUCAUGACCUAUGGUCCUCUUUUGUGCACUCUUAUAUCAUGGUUUUCAAGACCUAAUACUUAUGUUAAAAGCAAUGUUAUUAGUCAGUCGUUUCAUGUCCAGAUCC